GUCGCCAUGAUUGGUUCUUCACCCCGAACCAGUUCCUUAUCGGAGGGCAGUCCGGGUCCCAGUGCCAGCAGUCCUGCGUAGAAUCUAUAGUUAUCUAGCCUGGAGCUUCAGAGGAAGCGUUCUGCUGAAGAGACAGAUACCUCAGCCCCUGAGUGAAAAUCUCAGAUGAUAUGACUUUGCCUCUAAGACCCUUAGGCCUUCGGAAACAAACAGGAAUCAGUCCCAGAAGCAGAUCCAUUUGGCCUUAGACCUUUGGCAGAAACUUCAAGAGGGAGCUGGUCCUUGAGUGGUUGAUGAAUUUACAACCAUCUUGCCUGGCUAAAGAGGACUGGAGUGACUUAAGAAUAUCUAGAAUAGGAAGUGUGACUUUCAAGGAUCUGACCCAAAUGCUUGGGGAGAAAGUUCUGUCUUCUCAGAAAUAUGCAUUUAUCCAAGAGGGAAACAUUGAGGAGCAAAGAAAGGCCUCUGAAUUCCUUACAGCCAGGUUCCAGGUGAGUUGAGAAUUGUUGGUUUCGGUCUUUUCCCCUUCCAACUCUGACUCUCUCUGCCCUCAAAUG
RNAcentral lists this long non-coding RNA (557 nucleotides) under Vombatus ursinus (common wombat). RNAcentral's name for it is "lncRNA (ENSVURG00010010415.1)". The record is from RNAcentral. Lineage: Eukaryota; Metazoa; Chordata; Mammalia; Diprotodontia; Vombatidae.